UCCUUUUUUGGCAGAACAUUGCAAUAGAAUUAGAAUCUAUCUACUCCUA
RNAcentral lists this transfer RNA (49 nucleotides) under Lasiodora sp. LAS5XXFPM. Its description in RNAcentral is "tRNA-Leu". The record is from RNAcentral. Lineage: Eukaryota; Metazoa; Arthropoda; Arachnida; Araneae; Theraphosidae.